GCUGCAGCAAAAUCUGCAGCCGGGCCUCUCAACCCCGAAUGACAAGAAGCGCACAACACGCGCCAGCGUGUUUUUU
Molecule: small RNA, 76 nt
Filed under: Ravinvirus N15
Lineage: Duplodnaviria; Heunggongvirae; Uroviricota; Caudoviricetes
Description: Enterobacteria phage N15 isrK Hfq binding RNA
Rfam family: isrK Hfq binding RNA
Source: Rfam by way of RNAcentral